Small nuclear RNA from Oryctolagus cuniculus (rabbit), 112 nucleotides. Its record names the gene U2. It matches the Rfam family "U2 spliceosomal RNA". Rfam says of the family: U2 is a small nuclear RNA (snRNA) component of the spliceosome (involved in pre-mRNA splicing). Complementary binding between U2 snRNA (in an area lying towards the 5' end but 3' to hairpin I) and the branchpoint sequence (BPS) of the intron results the bulging out of an unpaired adenosine, on the BPS, which initiates a nucleophilic attack at the intronic 5' splice site, thus starting the first of two transesterification reactions that mediate splicing. NCBI's taxonomy places the organism in Eukaryota, Metazoa, Chordata, Mammalia, Lagomorpha, Leporidae. The record is from Ensembl.
AUCGCUUCUCGGCCUUUUGGCUAAGAUCAAGUGUAGUAACAGUAGGUUGAAGAUUCUCUCUCUUUCUCCUUCUUUCUCUCUCUUUCUCCCUCUGUCAAAUAACUAAAUCUUU